UGGGGAAUAUUGCACAAUGGACGGAAGUCUGAUGCAGCAACGCCGCGUGCGGGAUGACGGCCUUCGGGUUGUAAACCGCUUUUUCUCAUGACGACGUUUUUUGACGGUAGUGGGGGAAGAAGCACCGGCUAACUACGUGCCAGCAGCCGCGGUGAUACGUAGGGUGCGAGCGUUGUCCGGAAUUAUUGGGCGUAAAGAGGUUGUAGGCGGUUUGUCGCGUCGAUAGUGCAAACUCAGUGCUUAACGCUGAGCCUGCUGUUGAUACGGGCAGACUAGAGGAAGGUAGGGGAGAAUGGAAUUCCCGGUGGAGCGGUGGAAUGCGCAGAUAUCGGGAGGAACACCGGUGGCGAAGGCGGUUCUCUGGGCCUUUCCUGACGCUGAGAAGCGAAAGCGUGGGGAGCGAACAGG
This 408-nucleotide ribosomal RNA is filed under the name Fusobacteriota bacterium. RNAcentral describes it as "Fusobacteria bacterium partial 16S ribosomal RNA". It matches the Rfam family "Bacterial small subunit ribosomal RNA", at positions 355 to 776 of the family's 1533-position model. The record is from RNAcentral. Lineage: Bacteria; Fusobacteriati; Fusobacteriota.